This 508-nucleotide ribosomal RNA is filed under the name uncultured bacterium. RNAcentral describes it as "partial 16S ribosomal RNA". It matches the Rfam family "Bacterial small subunit ribosomal RNA", at positions 30 to 523 of the family's 1533-position model. The record is from RNAcentral.
AUUGAACGCUGGCGGCAUGCCUUACACAUGCAAGUCGAACGGCAGCGGGGGAGAAGCUUGCUUUUCCUGCCGGCGAGUGGCGAACGGGUGAGUAAUACAUCGGAACGUGCCCUGUAGUGGGGGAUAACUAGUCGAAAGAUUAGCUAAUACCGCAUACGACCUGAGGGUGAAAGUGGGGGACCGCAAGGCCUCAUGCUAUAGGAGCGGCAGAUGUCUGCUUAGCUAGUUGGUGGGGUAAAGGCCUACCAAGGCGACGAUCAGUAGCUGGUCUGAGAGGACGAUCAGCCACACUGGGACUGAGACACGGCCCAGACUCCUACGGGAGGCAGCAGUGGGGAAUUUUGGACAAUGGGCGAAAGCCUGAUCCAGCAAUGCCGCGUGUGUGAAGAAGGCCUUCGGGUUGUAAAGCACUUUUGUCCGGAAAGAAAUGGCUCUGGUUAAUACCUGGGGUCGAUGACGGUACCGGAAGAAUAAGGACCGGCUAACUACGUGCCAGCAGCCGCCGUAA